AGAGUUUGAUCAUGGCUCAGAUUGAACGCUGGCGGAAUGCUUUACACAUGCAAGUCGAACGGCAGCACGAGAGCUUGCUCUUGGUGGCGAGUGGCGAACGGGUGAGUAAUAUAUCGGAACGUAUCCAAUAAUGGGGGAUAACUAAUCGAAAGGUUGGCUAAUACCGCAUACGCCCUACGGGGGAAAGCAGGGGAUCUUCGGACCUUGCGUUAAUGGAGCGGCUGAUAUCUGAUUAGCUAGUAGGUGAGGUAAAGGCUCACCUAGGCUUCGAUCAGUAGCUGGUCUGAGAGGACGACCAGCCACACUGGAACUGAGACACGGUCCAGACUCCUACGGGAGGCAGCAGUGGGGAAUUUUGGACAAUGGGCGCAAGCCUGAUCCAGCCAUUCCGCGUGAGUGAAGAAGGCCUUCGGGUUGUAAAGCUCUUUCGCAAGGGAAGAAACGUUACGAGCGAAUAACUCGUGAUAAUGACGGUACCUUGAUAAGAAGCACCGGCUAACUACGUGCCAGCAGCCGCGGUAAUACGUAGGGUGCGAGCGUUAAUCGGAAUUACUGGGCGUAAAGCGUGCGCAGGCGGUUUUGUAAGUCAGAUGUGAAAUCCCCGAGCUCAACUUGGGAACUGCGUUUGAAACUACAAGGCUAGAGUAUGGUAGAGGGGGGUAGAAUUCCACGUGUAGCAGUGAAAUGCGUAGAGAUGUGG
This 700-nucleotide ribosomal RNA is filed under the name uncultured bacterium. Its description in RNAcentral is "bacterial SSU rRNA". It matches the Rfam family "Bacterial small subunit ribosomal RNA", at positions 8 to 701 of the family's 1533-position model. The record is from RNAcentral.